Long non-coding RNA from Harpegnathos saltator (Jerdon's jumping ant), 769 nucleotides. RefSeq lists it as uncharacterized. Lineage: Eukaryota; Metazoa; Arthropoda; Insecta; Hymenoptera; Formicidae. The record is from RefSeq and is a predicted model, not a curated record. The transcript is spliced from 3 exons.
GUCACAUUUGAAAAACUCACACUUGGUACUGGUGGGACUGAACUUCGACAUCCGAAAGGGCUCUGGAUUACAAGUCAAUCAUUCUGUCCACCUAACGCUCUAAAAUGCUAUGUAGCGCUACGGCCGAUCUACUUUGUGUUUUGAAAAGCUACAAUAACCUUCAUGACGUCAUCAAAUACGUAAUUAUUUUCGCUCUCAUCGCGCUUCAAACGCCUCACCUCAAGAAGUGGGUUAGCGGUAACAUUUCUUAUAUUUGGCGGGAAAUAUCAAUUAGUGAAGAGCGUUGCGUGGUGCGUAAUGAAAAAUAUGGUUGCCAAGAUGCCGCAAUUGCAAAUAAUAGACGAUGAAACAAAUGUGUGUUACAUAUUAAAUUUAAGUGAAGAAGAAUAUUCUUAUGCUUUAACAGAUUUAAUAUAUUGCACACAAUUACUUGAAAAAGUAAAAACGCAAAAUAUGAUACAAAGAAAGUAAUACAGUGGAUGAAGAAAAAAAGAAGCAUCCAAUACUAAUGAAGCAUACAAUGAUGGUUUUAGAUGGGUAGAUGGAGCUAUUAGAUUACUCUUAGCAACAUACAAAGAACAAGAAGAUUUAUUGAACAGUGGGAAAGUAUCGGUAAAAAGAUUUUGGCAAAUAAUCUCUGAAAAAUUGAGAAAAGCAUCAUACGAUAUCAUAGGGUUACAGUGCAAAAGUAAAUUGAAUGGGUUAAAAAAACCUACAAAAUAAAGACCACAACGCAAAGAGUGGUAACCAUAGAUGUACUUGGUCCUAU